GUGAUAUAAGUAUAAGGUGUGAAAAUAAAUGUUCCUGUCAUAAACAAUAUUACCUAAGGGCAAUAUCCCCGUACUUAAUCCUAUUGAUUUUUAAUCACUGGUAAACCAAACUAUGACACGGUCAUCUUCGCUAGCCAAGGGUUACGAUCCACUCCCGUUCUCUUCACCCUUGGCAGAUUGAGCUAACAUUUGUGAUAUCAAUGUUGCGCCAUCUAUCGGAAGAUUAAAGUCAAGCCCAUUCCGAAUACAUUAUUCUUGACCAAUGGUAGCACUUGAACUCUUCAAUUUGGAGAUAUAAACACGGUAGCGUCUAGAUUCUACACACUUGGUAAAGCCGGAAACGAAAAUAUACGUCAACAUUCAUGCAUUUUUGUGCAUGAAACAUACACAGGAACUUCUAUUAGUUGAUUAAAAACAUUCAAGUUGUCACUAAAUAUAGUCGUAUGUUUAGUAAUGUAAAGACAUGUUGCACAAUAAACACGUGGCAAUUGUUUACAAACACUUUC
RNAcentral lists this long non-coding RNA (506 nucleotides) under Mytilus galloprovincialis (Mediterranean mussel). The record is from RNAcentral. Lineage: Eukaryota; Metazoa; Mollusca; Bivalvia; Mytilida; Mytilidae.